RNAcentral lists this ribosomal RNA (253 nucleotides) under uncultured bacterium. RNAcentral describes it as "partial 16S ribosomal RNA". It matches the Rfam family "Bacterial small subunit ribosomal RNA", at positions 524 to 776 of the family's 1533-position model. The record is from RNAcentral.
UACGUAGGGGGCGAGCGUUGUCCGGAAUUAUUGGGCGUAAAGGGCGCGCAGGCGGGGAUUUAAGUCUGAGGUGGAAGUUUGCGGCUUAACCGUAGAAUGGCCUUGGAUACUGGAUUUCUUGAGUCUGGGAGAGGGAAGCGGAAUUCCUGGUGUAGCGGUGAAAUGCGUAGAUAUCAGGAAGAACACCGGCGGCGAAGGCGGCUUCCUGGCCCGGAACUGACGCUGAGGCGCGAAAGUGCGGGGAGCGAACAGG